CUACGUGCCAGCAGCCGCGGUAAUACGUAGGGUGCAAGCGUUAAUCGGAAUUACUGGGCGUAAAGCGAGCGCAGACGGUUACUUAAGCAAGAUGUGAAAUCCCCGAGCUCAACUUGGGAACUGCGUUUUGAACUGGGUAGCUAGAGUGUGUCAGAGGGGGGUAGAAUUCCACGUGUAGCAGUGAAAUGCGUAGAGAUGUGGAGGAAUACCGAUGGCGAAGGCAGCCCCCUGGGAUAGCACUGACGUUCAUGCUCGAAAGCGUGGGUAGCAAACAGGAUUAGAUACCCUGGUAGUCCACGCCCUAAACGAUGUCAAUUAGCUGUUGGGCAACUUGAUUGCUUAGUAGCGUAGCUAACGCGUGAAAUUGACCGCCUGGGGAGUACGGUCGCAAGAUUAAAACUCAAAGGAAUUGACGGGGACCCGCACAAGCGGUGGAUGAUGUGGAUUAAUUCGAUGCAACGCGAAGAACCUUACCUGGUCUUGACAU
Molecule: ribosomal RNA, 487 nt
Filed under: uncultured bacterium
Lineage: Bacteria
Description: bacterial SSU rRNA
Rfam family: Bacterial small subunit ribosomal RNA
Source: RNAcentral